This 77-nucleotide transfer RNA is filed under the name marine sediment metagenome. Its description in RNAcentral is "tRNA-Arg". It matches the Rfam family "tRNA". Rfam says of the family: Transfer RNA (tRNA) molecules are approximately 80 nucleotides in length. Their secondary structure includes four short double-helical elements and three loops (D, anti-codon, and T loops). The record is from RNAcentral.
AUCCCCGUAGUUUAGAUGGAUAAAAUAUCGGGCUACGAACCCGAAGAUCGCAAGUUCGAGUCUUGCCGGGGAUGCCA